UUAAGUUAUUAAGGGCGCACGGUGGAUGCCUUGGCACUAGAAGCCGAUGAAGGACGUUACUAACGACGAUAUGCUUUGGGGAGCUGUAAGUAAGCUUUGAUCCAGAGAUUUCCGAAUGGGGAAACCCAGCAUGAGUUAUGUCAUGUUAUCGAUAUGUGAAUACAUAGCAUAUCAGAAGGCACACCCGGAGAACUGAAACAUCUUAGUACCCGGAGGAAGAGAAAGAAAAUUCGAUUCCCUUAGUAGCGGCGAGCGAAACGGGAAGAGCCCAAACCAACAAGCUUGCUUGUUGGGGUUGUAGGACACUCUAUACGGAGUUACAAAGGACGACAUUAGACGAAUCAUCUGGAAAGAUGAAUCAAAGAAGGUAAUAAUCCUGUAGUCGAAAAUGUUGUCUCUCUUGAGUGGAUCCUGAGUACGACGGAGCACGUGAAAUUCCGUCGGAAUCUGGGAGGACCAUCUCCUAAGGCUAAAUACUCUCUAGUGACCGAUAGUGAACCAGUACCGUGAGGGAAAGGUGAAAAGCACCCCGGAAGGGGAGUGAAAUAGAACCUGAAACCGUGUGCUUACAAGUAGUCAGAGCCCGUUAAUGGGUGAUGGCGUGCCUUUUGUAGAAUGAACCGGCGAGUUACGAUUUGAUGCAAGGUUAAGCAGUAAAUGUGGAGCCGUAGCGAAAGCGAGUCUGAAUAGGGCGUUUAGUAUUUGGUCGUAGACCCGAAACCAGGUGAUCUACCCUUGGUCAGGUUGAAGUUCAGGUAACACUGAAUGGAGGACCGAACCGACUUACGUUGAAAAGUGAGCGGAUGAACUGAGGGUAGCGGAGAAAUUCCAAUCGAACCUGGAGAUAGCUGGUUCUCUCCGAAAUAGCUUUAGGGCUAGCCUCAAGUGAUGAUUAUUGGAGGUAGAGCACUGUUUGGACGAGGGGCCCCUCUCGGGUUACCGAAUUCAGACAAACUCCGAAUGCCAAUUAAUUUAACUUGGGAGUCAGAACAUGGGUGAUAAGGUCCGUGUUCGAAAGGGAAACAGCCCAGACCACCAGCUAAGGUCCCAAAAUAUAUGUUAAGUGGAAAAGGAUGUGGCGUUGCCCAGACAACUAGGAUGUUGGCUUAGAAGCAGCCAUCAUUUAAAGAGUGCGUAAUAGCUCACUAGUCGAGUGACACUGCGCCGAAAAUGUACCGGGGCUAAACAUAUUACCGAAGCUGUGGAUUGUCCUUUGGACAAUGGUAGGAGAGCGUUCUAAGGGCGUUGAAGCAUGAUCGUAAGGACAUGUGGAGCGCUUAGAAGUGAGAAUGCCGGUGUGAGUAGCGAAAGACGGGUGAGAAUCCCGUCCACCGAUUGACUAAGGUUUCCAGAGGAAGGCUCGUCCGCUCUGGGUUAGUCGGGUCCUAAGCUGAGGCCGACAGGCGUAGGCGAUGGAUAACAGGUUGAUAUUCCUGUACCACCUAUAAUCGUUUUAAUCGAUGGGGGGACGCAGUAGGAUAGGCGAAGCGUGCGAUUGGAUUGCACGUCUAAGCAGUAAGGCUGAGUAUUAGGCAAAUCCGGUACUCGUUAAGGCUGAGCUGUGAUGGGGAGAAGACAUUGUGUCUUCGAGUCGUUGAUUUCACACUGCCGAGAAAAGCCUCUAGAUAGAAAAUAGGUGCCCGUACCGCAAACCGACACAGGUAGUCAAGAUGAGAAUUCUAAGGUGAGCGAGCGAACUCUCGUUAAGGAACUCGGCAAAAUGACCCCGUAACUUCGGGAGAAGGGGUGCUCUUUAGGGUUAACGCCCAGAAGAGCCGCAGUGAAUAGGCCCAAGCGACUGUUUAUCAAAAACACAGGUCUCUGCUAAACCGUAAGGUGAUGUAUAGGGGCUGACGCCUGCCCGGUGCUGGAAGGUUAAGAGGAGUGGUUAGCUUCUGCGAAGCUACGAAUCGAAGCCCCAGUAAACGGCGGCCGUAACUAUAACGGUCCUAAGGUAGCGAAAUUCCUUGUCGGGUAAGUUCCGACCCGCACGAAAGGCGUAACGAUUUGGGCACUGUCUCAACGAGAGACUCGGUGAAAUCAUAGUACCUGUGAAGAUGCAGGUUACCCGCGACAGGACGGAAAGACCCCGUGGAGCUUUACUGUAGCCUGAUAUUGAAAUUCGGCACAGCUUGUACAGGAUAGGUAGGAGCCUUUGAAACGUGAGCGCUAGCUUACGUGGAGGCGCUGGUGGGAUACUACCCUAGCUGUGUUGGCUUUCUAACCCGCACCACUUAUCGUGGUGGGAGACAGUGUCAGGCGGGCAGUUUGACUGGGGCGGUCGCCUCCUAAAAGGUAACGGAGGCGCUCAAAGGUUCCCUCAGAAUGGUUGGAAAUCAUUCAUAGAGUGUAAAGGCAUAAGGGAGCUUGACUGCGAGACCUACAAGUCGAGCAGGGUCGAAAGACGGACUUAGUGAUCCGGUGGUUCCGCAUGGAAGGGCCAUCGCUCAACGGAUAAAAGCUACCCCGGGGAUAACAGGCUUAUCUCCCCCAAGAGUUCACAUCGACGGGGAGUUUUGGCACCUCGAUGUCGGCUCAUCGCAUCCUGGGGCUGUAGUCGGUCCCAAGGGUUGGGCUGUUCGCCCAUUAAAGCGGUACGCGAGCUGGGUUCAGAACGUCGUGAGACAGUUCGGUCCCUAUCCGUCGUGGGCGUAGGAAAUUUGAGAGGAGCUGUCCUUAGUACGAGAGGACCGGGAUGGACAUACCUCUGGUGUACCAGUUGUCGUGCCAACGGCAUAGCUGGGUAGCUAUGUGUGGACGGGAUAAGUGCUGAAAGCAUCUAAGCAUGAAGCCCCCCUCAAGAUGAGAUUUCCCAACUUCGGUUAUAAGAUCCCUCAAAGAUGAUGAGGUUAAUAGGUUCGAGGUGGAAGCAUGGUGACAUGUGGAGCUGACGAAUACUAAUCGAUCGAAGACUUAAUCAA
Molecule: ribosomal RNA, 2921 nt
Filed under: Staphylococcus aureus
Lineage: Bacteria; Bacillati; Bacillota; Bacilli; Caryophanales; Staphylococcaceae
Description: bacterial LSU rRNA
Rfam family: Bacterial large subunit ribosomal RNA
Source: RNAcentral